RNAcentral lists this unclassified non-coding RNA (231 nucleotides) under Hevea brasiliensis (rubber tree). Lineage: Eukaryota; Viridiplantae; Streptophyta; Magnoliopsida; Malpighiales; Euphorbiaceae. The record is from RNAcentral.
GUUCUCAAAAGACUGGUUCAUCUUAACCAGGACCAACUUUAGGAAUGUCAUAAUACUCAGUAAGAUUAGCUAGGAAUCGAUUAAAUUCUUGAAUUCUAUCGCGAUGGGAUUUCUUAGCUUCUUUUGCCAGUCGUUUGAUGUUUAAUUUCUCCCACUGCUCGAGGUAUUUUCUCUCUGCUGGUGUUAGAUGAUCGUCGUUCUUGGUAGUUAGAUCAUCCUCGAGCUGGUUUG